UAAUACUAGCGGUCCAAGUCGCAGCCAUUUUUAUUGGGUCUAAAACAUCCGUAGCUUGCUUGGUAAGUUUCCUGUGAAAUCCUAUCUCUUAAAGAUAGGGCGUGCAAGAAGUACUGCCGAGCUAGAGACUGGAAGACGUAGGAAGUACGGUCAAAGUAGCGGUAAAAUGUAUUAAUCUUGACUGGACUAACGAUAGCGAAGGCAUCCUACGAGGACAGUUCUGACAGUAAGGGAUGAAAGCUAGGGGCGCAAAACGGAUUAGAUACCCGUGUAGUCCUAGCUGUAAACACUGCACACUAAACAUUAGUAUCUCCUCGAGAGGUAUUAGUGCUGCAGCGAAGGCGAAGAGUGUGCUACCUGGGAAGUAUAGUCGCAAGGCCG
RNAcentral lists this ribosomal RNA (381 nucleotides) under uncultured archaeon. RNAcentral's name for it is "bacterial SSU rRNA". It matches the Rfam family "Archaeal small subunit ribosomal RNA", at positions 471 to 851 of the family's 1478-position model. The record is from RNAcentral.